GACCCGAUGCUGUCAGAGAGCGUGCAUGAAGAAGAAAGUUAAUGGUAUUUCCAUUUAUAUAAGAAGCGCCUAAGAAAUGCCUGUGACGUUCGUGAACUAGUGAUUGUGAAUUCCAAAUUUGAUGCCAACUUUAUGUGUAAAGAAGCUAACUCCUGCCAACAUCGUGGCUGAAUGAACAGCUGGGACUAUGCUUAACCCAUUCCCAGCUUAUAAAAGCCCCAUGGCAGCUGCAGUGAAGCAUCAGGUGAGUCUGAUAUGGGCUGUCUGUUCCCUCGGGGAUUUGAAUCUUGCCUGUCCUUUCCAAGUGGAGUCUUGUGCCUAAGUGCUAGAGCCCACUCCUUCCUCCCCACUGAUUCCCUUCUUUCCAUUUCUGCCAUUUCCCUUCUUCUUUUAAUAAAACUUGGACAUUUUCUG
RNAcentral lists this long non-coding RNA (414 nucleotides) under Homo sapiens (human). RNAcentral describes it as "HSALNT0392558". Lineage: Eukaryota; Metazoa; Chordata; Mammalia; Primates; Hominidae. The record is from RNAcentral.